GAUGAAGAACGUAGCGAAAUGCGAUAAGUAGUGUGAAUUGCAGAAUUCAGUGAAUCAUCGAAUCUUUGAACGCACAUUGCGCCCUUUGGUAUUCCAAAGGGCAUGCCUGUUCGAGCGUCAUUUGUACCCUCAAGCUUUGCUUGGUGUUGGGCGUCUUGUCUCUAGCUUUGCUGGAGACUCGCCUUAAAGUAAUUGGCAGCCGGCCUACUGGUUUCGGAGCGCAGCACAAGUCGCACUCUCUAUCAGCAAAGGUCUAGCAUCCAUUAAGCCUUUUUUUCAACUUUUGACCUCGGAUCAGGUAGGGAUACCCGCUGAACUUAAGCAUAUCAACAAGCGGAGGA
This 341-nucleotide unclassified non-coding RNA is filed under the name soil metagenome. Its description in RNAcentral is "partial contains 5.8S ribosomal RNA, internal transcribed spacer 2, and large subunit ribosomal RNA". The stretch from base 1 to 120 matches the Rfam family "5.8S ribosomal RNA", at positions 35 to 154 of the family's 154-position model. The record is from RNAcentral.